CAGCCCUAAACGAUGCGCGUUAGGUGUAUCGGUGACCACGAGUCACCGAGGUGCCGAAGGGAAACCGUGAAACGUGCCGCCUGGGAAGUACGGUCGCAAGGCUGAAACUUAAAGGAAUUGGCGGGGGAGCACAACAACGGGUGGAGCUUGCGGUUUAAUUGGACUCAACGCCGGGAAGCUCACCGGAUAAGACAGCGGAAUGAUUGCCGGGCUGAAGACCCUGCAUGACCAGCUGAGAGGAGGUGCAUGGCGUAGUCGUGU
RNAcentral lists this ribosomal RNA (261 nucleotides) under uncultured archaeon. Its description in RNAcentral is "partial 16S ribosomal RNA". It matches the Rfam family "Archaeal small subunit ribosomal RNA", at positions 748 to 1009 of the family's 1478-position model. The record is from RNAcentral.